RNAcentral lists this long non-coding RNA (3174 nucleotides) under Oryza sativa (Asian cultivated rice). Its description in RNAcentral is "long non-coding RNA (OSAT_LNC001816)". Lineage: Eukaryota; Viridiplantae; Streptophyta; Magnoliopsida; Poales; Poaceae. The record is from RNAcentral.
ACAUUGUCCGAACAGUAAAUUGACCAUUUUGAUGAUAAUUCCAUCUAAAACAAUCAUUCAGUUGACUCAACUGAAUAUGCACAAUAGAAGCACGCAAGUUAUGCCAAUUUGUUAAAUUCUGACCAACCAAAGCUCUCCUAAAAGAAACAUUCAACGGAACAGAUCUCAUAACAUUAGCAAUUGAAUAAUUCUUCCUUCGAACAAUGGCAUAUAGAGACGGAUACUUAUCUUUAAAAGUCACGUUACCUAUCCAUUUAUCUUUCCAAAAUCUAGUUUGUUCCUCAUUAUUCACAAUCCAGGAACCCAUAUUCAAGAAAGUAUUUUUAACUUUCAUGAGACCUGAUCAGAAAUGAGAAUCCCCUGGUUUCCUAUCAACUUGAGUUAUAGAAUGGUUAGAGAGAUACUUCCUUUUCAAUAAGUCCUGUCAAACCCCUUGCUCAUUUAUUAACUUGAACAACCAUUUACUCAAAAGACAUUUAUUUUGGAUCUCCAAAUCAUGAACACCUAAACCCCCUUGGUCUUUGGGUUGACAAAUUAUAUCCCAUCUUGUUAGUCUAUAUUUUUUCUUAUGAUCAUCACCUUGCCAAAAGAAACGUGAUCUAUAAUAAUCAAUUUUUUGAAGAACUCCCUUUGGAAUCUCAAAAAAAGAUAUCAUAAACAUAGCCAAACUUGAUAGAACAGAAUUAAUCAAAACCAAUCUUCCCCCCACAGACAUAUGUUUUCCUUUCCAACUACUAAGUUUCUUCUUAAUUCUUUGUUCGAUAAUCUUCCAAUCUUUAUUGCCAAGCUUUCUAAAAUGCAUUGGAAUACCGAGAUACUUAACAGGAAAAGAACCUAGCUUGCAGCCAAAGAUAUUAGAAUAUUGAUCAUUAUAUUUCUUUGCUUGACCAAAACAAAAUAAUUCACUUUUGUGAAAAUUUAUUUUCAAGCUAGACAACUUUUCAAACACUGAUAAAAUCAAUUUCAAAUUCUUGACUUCUUGUAAAUCAUGCUCCAAAAAUAUGAUGGUAUCAUUAGCAUAUUGCAAAAUAGAUAAACCAUCAUCCACUAAAUGAGGUAUUACCCCACUUAACAGACCAGCAUCUUUAGCCCUCUUAAUUAGUAAAGCUAGCAUAUCAGCCACGAUAUUAAAAAGAAUCGGAGACAGAGGAUCUCCUUGCCUAAGCCCUUUAUAGGUUUGGAAGUUAUUUCCAACUUGAUCAUUUACUUUAAUACCAACAUGACCACCUUGAAUGAAAGAAGCUAUCCAUUGACACCAUUUAUGUGAAAAGCCUUUCAUCCUCAAUGUCUGUUGAACAAAAGACCAUUUAACUUUGUCGUACGCUUUCUCAAAAUCAAUCUUAAAGAUUACACUACUAUUUUUACGAUGCAAUUCAUGUAUAGUCUCAUGAAGAAUAACAACCCCUUUCAUAAUAUUUCUCCCAGGAAUAAAAGCAGUUUGAGUAGGGCUAAUUACCUUUUGUGCCACUCCAAUAAUUCUAUUAGUAGCAACUUUGGUAAAAAUUUUAAACCUAACAUUAAGUAAGCAGAUAGGCCUAUAUUGCUGGAUUUUCAUGGCCUCCAUACACUUAGGCAAAAGAAUGAUAGUACCAAAAUUAAGAGAGAAUAAAGGCAAAGUACCAUUAUGAAACUCUUUAAAAAGAUCUAACAAAUCAGAUUUAAUAACAUUCCAAAAAACUUGGUAAAACUCAGCUGGAAAUCUAUCAGGACCCGGAGCCUUGUUAUGUUCCAUUUGGAAAAUUGCCUUUUUAAUUUCAUCCUCAGUAAAUGCAAGGUGGGCUAUGCAUUUCAUUGUGCAUUUUUUACUGCUUCAUUAUCAUCUCUCUCUUGACUUAUCUUGGAUCAUUAUGUCAAUACAGGGAGAUCACUACCGCCAAUGGCUCCACUGGGAGUAACAUGGAUUGCCCAUUCUCAAUGGAGAAGACAUUGUCCAACAUAUGCAAGAGAACUUUUUAUGAUAUCUUUGAUUAAGCAUGUGACAUUUACUUAUUCGCAUGCUCAUAUUCUAAACUUUAUAUCAAACAUGAUUGCAUUGGUUUCCAGUAGUCCAUUUGUGUGUUGGUUAAUAGGUGGAAUACGGCGGGGGAGGGCGGACGGCAGUCCCGCGGCAGCGGCCCCACCCUCUACCUUUGACACUGGCUAGUUUGCCAUCUUCCCCAGCGGUCGACGGUCGUGGAACAUUUUCACUCUCAACAGGUGGAGAAACUGAAUAGAAUAGGUUUGAUUUGGAUUAGAGAUUUUUAACCACCUGUAAAGAGGUUUAUUGAGCCACGCUGCAUUCAGUCACAUUUGCUGUUUGUCCAAUAUUAUCUGCUGAAUGUUUAUUUUGGUGAAGCUACUAGCUUGAAUCUUAGUAAUUCAACAAAAUUUUGAAUCUUGGUCUGUUAAGUUAAUGUUCCUAAUCAGUGAAAUGGGGGGAUUUUUGAGAAUGCGAACAAAAUAAUCAUAUUUGUACCUGGGUCUCUGAAUCAGUAUAAAGUUCCUGAGAAUGAGAAUGGAAAUAAUCAUAUUUGUCUGAACCUUGGUCUUUGAAUCAGUAGAAUAUGUGUUUCUAUUAAGUUGAUCUUGGUGUGAACCUUGGUCUUUGAAUCAGUAUGGACGUCGGUCUGAAUCUUUUGAGCUUAACCAUGGUUCAGACCAAUAUUCUUCUAGCUUAGGUACUCGGCAUCUAUGUGGCUUCUACUCAACAAAGUGUCAGUUGAAUUCAGUCGCAUUUAUCUUUGUGCAAUACUUUUAUCACAUCUGAUUCUAAAACAUCUUUACCACAUCUACUCCGGUGCUACUGAACUGAAUGGAGUACUCCAGUUCAAGGCAACUAAUAUAGGCUUACUUCACAAUUAUCUGCUUAAUUCAGUCACAUUUACUCCCAGAAAUUGUCUGCUGAAGCUGAUCUGCUCCUAAUACAGGAAUACUCAACAUCGAGUAAUCUCAAUUCUGUGUCAAAAAAAAAGUAAUCUCAAUUUACAUUCAGUCAAAAAAUUACUCCUACUCUGUAAUCUCAGUAAAGUCAGGAAUAUUCAGUCGAUUCACAUUUACUCAAGAUUCAGUAAUCUCAGUUGACACAAUUAAUUACUGUACUCAAUUUACAAUCUCAAUUCAAUAUUCAUUAAAAAAAGUACUCCAUAACCUCAGUACAUUCAGGAACAUUCAGUCAAUUCACAUUCAGUUCUUGGC